GGAGCUGCGAGGAAUGUAUCUGAAAUCCAAAAUCCAAAAUUAAUCAGACCAAUUAGUAGACACGUAUAUUGAACUGACAGAUACCGUGAUCUGGAAGAUGUAAUUGUGUAUUUUGUCAUCUGUAAAAUGUAAACAGUUUGGAGAUACAUGAUGAUGAUCUUAAAUAUGUCUGCUGUAAUUAAUGAGCUUUGAUACCUUGCGAUUGGAUGUACUUGCGUCAUUAAGUGUAGAGUAAAAUAUCCUGUCGUAAUAAUAAAACUAAGAAUCAACAAGACAUGACCGAUUUCGAAGGAGGUUUUCUCUUUACACGGCCUACAUUGAUGUUGCACUGCAUGAAAACAUAUCACAAGAGCAAUUAGUAAAAUAAUAUCUUCGAGUAUUGAAG
Molecule: long non-coding RNA, 385 nt
Filed under: Mytilus galloprovincialis (Mediterranean mussel)
Lineage: Eukaryota; Metazoa; Mollusca; Bivalvia; Mytilida; Mytilidae
Source: RNAcentral